AAGAGCCGUGUAACGGGAGACUGUUAAGCACGGUUCUAUGAGAGACUUGGGGUGAAAUUCCCCAGGUCUACUCGAC
Molecule: non-coding RNA, 76 nt
Filed under: Mucilaginibacter lappiensis
Lineage: Bacteria; Pseudomonadati; Bacteroidota; Sphingobacteriia; Sphingobacteriales; Sphingobacteriaceae
Source: RNAcentral